Molecule: long non-coding RNA, 1139 nt
Filed under: Coturnix japonica (Japanese quail)
Lineage: Eukaryota; Metazoa; Chordata; Aves; Galliformes; Phasianidae
Description: lncRNA (ENSCJPG00005018054.1)
Source: RNAcentral
CUUUCCCAGCUCAGUUCAGCAACAAUAUCUAUGGGAAACAGCUGUGACAGUUCCCUUCAGCACAAUAUCCACAGGUCCAAGCUGUUAAAACUGUGGUUAGUCUGCUUGGGCUAUUGCUGUCUGCAAUACUCUUCAUAGAAGUAAGCAUUCUGCCUGAGACUGAGCUGUGGUUACAGAAACUUUGGACAAAUGCUGCAAAACUCAGAAGCAGUUUUUAUUCAAGUCAAAUGCAUCAAUGGAUGUUGCUGUAAAAGAAAGGUGGCCAGCUUUCUUUAGCUCGAACAGAGGAACUCAACAAUACUAUGGAGCAAAGUGAGAAACAUUAAAUAUGAAUAGACUAAUGAGCUCUGGAACUUAAUGUUUUCCAGAUGGUACUUAAGAUAUCCUUAUUUAUUGCUCCUCAUCCAACAUUUUGACUUCAAAUGGAAAAACAAACCUGGUAGUCUGCAAGCUGAAGGUGUGGCGGGCCACUAUACUGCCUUGGCUGACGUCCCUGCUAUUCUGGGUCCUUUUGUGGCUUUUGAAAAUCCAGAAUCACCGAUGUUACAGUUGAUCUGAAUCACAGAGCAUCCUUUAAGAGCACACUGUGGAGGGAACUCAAGGUACUGUAAUGGUGUUGUAGUGGUGCUGCUGACAGCCAUAUAUGCAGCAACUCUAUAACUGUAUAAACACAUUUCUGCUCCUCUGCUGGGGAGAGGGACAGCUCAUCAACAUGUUUGGCCCAAAUUCAGAAUAACCUUUGUUUUUCUACUGCUCUAUGGCAUUUGGCAGACAAAAGAAGACUUGAAACUGGCUAAUGCUGCCUUCAUGCUCAGCAUCUUGCUGCUGUGUGGGCUAGCAGGAGGUGUUUGGCCUGAGCAGACAGUCUGGUAGUGCUCAUUGGGGUGGCCUUAUGUAUUCAUAUUCGAGGGGCAGUUGAAGCUUUGGUUUAAGAUAAAAGUCAGGACUUGGUGACUCAAAUUGCUACCCAAGCAGUAUAAAUUUAGAAAGCAGUCUAUAAUCCUCAAACCAGCAGAUGUUUCCUAUAUUUGUUGAAAAUGUCUGAUGCACAGGCUGGAAAAGAAUAUGAAAUACCUUAAGUAGUGCAGGUAAUUGUGCCAAGUCUCAUCUGAUUAAUAUAGUUAAUAUCACCACUUCUU